UACGUAGGGAGCGAGCGUUAUCCGGAUUUAUUGGGUGUAAAGGGUGCGUAGACGGGAAAUUAAGUUAGUUGUGAAAUCCCCAGGCUCAACUUGGGAACUGCAACUAAAACUGGUUUUCUUGAGUGUCGGAGAGGAAAGUGGAAUUCCUAGUGUAGCGGUGAAAUGCGUAGAUAUUAGGAGGAACACCAGUGGCGAAGGCGACUUUCUGGACGAUAACUGACGUUGAGGCACGAAAGUGUGGGGAG
This 245-nucleotide ribosomal RNA is filed under the name uncultured Eubacteriales bacterium. RNAcentral describes it as "uncultured Clostridiales bacterium partial 16S ribosomal RNA". It matches the Rfam family "Bacterial small subunit ribosomal RNA", at positions 524 to 768 of the family's 1533-position model. The record is from RNAcentral. Lineage: Bacteria; Bacillati; Bacillota; Clostridia; Eubacteriales.